UUUGGGUUUUGUAUUUCAUAAUAUUUCAUUAUAUUAAGGUGUCAUACUUGAAUACCUUGUAGUUAUGAACUUCUUGCUUCUUUGAUAUGUGUAGUAUUAUUCUCCCCCCCCCCAAAAAAAAUAUAUUUAGUUUUGUAAAAAAAUUAAUUUCCAUAAGGUCUGUCAACAAUGAAUGGCUCUCUAAAUAAAGAUUAAAUACGAAUUUCAAAAGAAAAAAAUAUGUAUGAAAACUCCAUUCAAAAAUACUUUGGAAAGUAUCACACCAGUGAUUCUUCUGGUAUAAUUCAGGUAAGCUCUAAAUCUCAGUUUUCAUUGGGGACUUUCUUCAUUGCAUCGAGGAUGCUUUAUCAUCUGUAUUAUUAUAUUCACAAUAUAAUUGUUAAGGGCAUACCAUACAGUUACAGGGGAGGUAAUGACAUUGCUAACGCUAAAUGUUAUUUUCGCGACGUCAAACUGUGACAUAUCGGGAAAAGAUGCAUUUUUUCGACUGAUUUUUAUCACUCAAACUGAUUUAAUUUGAAAACCAGUGCAUGGACCCCUAUUUUUUAAAACAACAUACUGUUUCAUUUUGCAGGGAGGUUAUGUGAACCAAAUUUUAUAAAACUGUAAAUAGUGCAAUUUUUUUAAUGUUGAUAAAUAUACAGCCAAAAAAAAUACUUUUUUUCUCAAUUCAUGACCAUUUGAUAAAUAUGAGUUAUUUCUGAAUAAAAAAUGCACAAUUUUUUAGGAUUCUUAUAAAAUACAGAAAUUACAAAUUAUUUAACAAAAAACAAUUUGUGUUUAUCUUUUAAAACAAAAAAGUUAUGGCUUUCUCUCGAAAGGGAAAAUACAACCACAAAUCCUAAUUUUGGGCAAAUAUACAAAAUUUCGACCUCAUUUAACUAAAAAAAUAGCACAUGAAGGUAUAUUUUUUAUUACAUAUUUGAUUUAAUUAGGCGAAAAAUAGGCUAUAUGGAAAUUUUCAUCAAACUGUAAAUACGGGAUUAAAACUGUAUCGUAUGCCCUUAAAUGUUGUGAAUACAGAAAGCAAACAUAAUGAUUAUGAUAUGCUUAAACUUCAUUAUAACAAAUAAUUUAACUUUAAAUAUAAUGAAUAUUUAAACUGGAAUUGACUGUUCACAUGUUAUGUUCGUUGAUUGUUGACAUUAUGUGUUGAAAAACAGUAAUAAGUCAAAGGACUAAGAGUUACAAGACAGAAAGUCCAAAAGUCACAAGUAAAUUUGAUUGGUCUAUAAUAGAAUAGAAUGUUUAUAAAAAUGUCAAUUGAAUUAGUCUUUCUAUUAAAAAAAAUCUUUUGAAACCACAUUGUGACCUCUUGUUAUAUAUGUUUUAAUUGGUUACAUUUUUGUCUAUUUUGUACCAUAAUGCUAUGCAUGAAAAAUAUAUUAACUGUAUGC
Molecule: long non-coding RNA, 1397 nt
Filed under: Mytilus galloprovincialis (Mediterranean mussel)
Lineage: Eukaryota; Metazoa; Mollusca; Bivalvia; Mytilida; Mytilidae
Source: RNAcentral